This is a long non-coding RNA of Rosa rugosa (rugosa rose), 1291 nucleotides long. RefSeq lists it as uncharacterized. The transcript has 4 exons. NCBI's taxonomy places the organism in Eukaryota, Viridiplantae, Streptophyta, Magnoliopsida, Rosales, Rosaceae. The record is from RefSeq and is a predicted model, not a curated record.
AUUUUCAGAGAAUUGGUGACCCAUUUCUUAGACCCGCGUCCCGCGACGAAGACCCGACAAUAUCUCCUCCUUCCGGCCAUUUAUCGACGGCGUACCACUGGCGCUAGGAUCGUCUCGACGUCGCGACCAAGCCUAUAGCUUGGGUUUCCACCGACGAGCUCCGACGAAGCCAAUUCGAAACCAAGAAGUUUCUGCGGUUUUCUUGAGUUUCCGACCGGCGACCGAUGAUGACAUGCAAGAAUGAUCAAGAUGGUGAGAAUCUCAGAGUUAAGCUAUCUCUGUUUAUGUAAAUAGAGAACAGAGUAGCUUUUGUUGGCGUUAAUCAGAAUGGAUGAGAUACACCCCAACUUCUCAAAUUUGAAAACUGUGGAAAGCUGGAGGUUGGAAUAGCCAGUGCACAUGAGGAAAAUCUCCCUCUGAUAACUAGACAAGGACUCCAGUUACCCAAAACAUGAAACGUGGUGGUGUUGGCCUAGGAAAGCAAAUGGAGUCAAAGCUGCAAUAUUCCAGGUAGGGGAUUCUAGACCCGCCUCAGUAACUUUUAUGCAUAUAUUUUAAGGAAAUUAAUGAUGCAUGAAAAAGAAUUUGGUUUUUAUUGCAUUUUCUAUGAGUUAUUGUUUGAUGACCUGAGAGUGAGAGGAGCAUAGCGACUUCCUUGGGCUUCGAUCCCCUAAACCUCCGGAGGGGCUGUAUGGACUGAAGAGUGUCUGACAUCCGUUGAGGUGUGACACUGCUUUUAGGUGAUACGGCGUAAGUGGACACUCUCGCUACACCUUGCCGGUGUAAACGAUAUUAAUCGUGGUAAGGUUGUAGUUGGCAUAGCGAUCGGUCAUCAGGUCUGUUUCAUUCUUUUGGGCCCUACUAUAUUUUUAUAAACGAACUACAGUUUAUGGUUUCGAACAUUUUUAUCUAUACGCAUUGUUUCUCACUUACUUUGCCGGCACCUAUAUUUUAAAUUAUUUUCGCACCUAGCUGGGGUAGAGUCUUAUUGAGCAGCGAGGACGAAAGCUCACCCCUACAACAGUUUGUGGAUGCAGGUACUGUGUACGAAGACGGGACAGUUGGAUGAUGCUAAUUGUGGCUUAGUUAGCUUGUACUUUAAAUGGUCAUCGACGGAGUUAGAUCCGCGUGACAGGUUCUCUUAAUUAUUUUCUUUACUCCCGUGUAACUUGUUUAUCGAGGUUGUGAUUAUUUGUAAAGUACCACUUUUGUAUAUUUUUCGGACUUUGGACUUGAACUGGACGAACAUUCGAUAAUUGUUUUGAAAUGACUUGUAUUUGUUUUCUUCAAA